RNAcentral lists this ribosomal RNA (417 nucleotides) under Salmonella enterica subsp. enterica. RNAcentral's name for it is "partial 23S ribosomal RNA". It matches the Rfam family "Bacterial large subunit ribosomal RNA", at positions 1154 to 1547 of the family's 2925-position model. The record is from RNAcentral. RNAcentral also lists the same sequence under 1 other name. Lineage: Bacteria; Pseudomonadati; Pseudomonadota; Gammaproteobacteria; Enterobacterales; Enterobacteriaceae.
CGUAUCACCCAAGACAACUUUGCGGAGUUGACGAUUGACGGAGCGAAGCGACGUCAAAGCGUUCAUUAAAGUCGAGUUGGCUUAGGGAUACGUUCGUUGGGUAGGGGAGCGUUCUGUAAGCCUGUGAAGGUGGCCUGUGAGGGUUGCUGGAGGUAUCAGAAGUGCGAAUGCUGACAUAAGUAACGAUAAAGCGGGUGAAAAGCCCGCUCGCCGGAAGACCAAGGGUUCCUGUCCAACGUUAAUCGGGGCAGGGUGAGUCGACCCCUAAGGCGAGGCCGAAAGGCGUAGUCGAUGGGAAACGGGUUAAUAUUCCCGUACUUGGUGUUACUGCGAAGGGGGGACGGAGAAGGCUAUGUUGGCCGGGCGACGGUUGUCCCGGUUUAAGCGUGUAGGUGUGUGUUCCAGGUAAAUCCGGUU